CCGAGUGCUUGCACUCAAUUGGAAAGAGGAGUGGCGGACGGGUGAGUAACACGUGGGUAACCUACCCAUCAGAGGGGGAUAACACUUGGAAACAGGUGCUAAUACCGCAUAACAGUUUAUGCCGCAUGGCAUAAGAGUGAAAGGCGCUUUCGGGUGUCGCUGAUGGAUGGACCCGCGGUGCAUUAGCUAGUUGGUGAGGUAACGGCUCACCAAGGCCACGAUGCAUAGCCGACCUGAGAGGGUGAUCGGCCACACUGGGACUGAGACACGGCCCAGACUCCUACGGGAGGCAGCAGUAGGGAAUCUUCGGCAAUGGACGAAAGUCUGACCGAGCAACGCCGCGUGAGUGAAGAAGGUUUUCGGAUCGUAAAACUCUGUUGUUAGAGAAGAACAAGGACGUUAGUAACUGAACGUCCCCUGACGGUAUCUAACCAGAAAGCCACGGCUAACUACGUGCCAGCAGCCGCGGUAAUACGUAGGUGGCAAGCGUUGUCCGGAUUUAUUGGGCGUAAAGCGAGCGCAGGCGGUUUCUUAAGUCUGAUGUGAAAGCCCCCGGCUCAACCGGGGAGGGUCAUUGGAAACUGGGAGACUUGAGUGCAGAAGAGGAGAGUGGAAUUCCAUGUGUAGCGGUGAAAUGCGUAGAUAUAUGGAGGAACACCAGUGGCGAAGGCG
RNAcentral lists this ribosomal RNA (672 nucleotides) under uncultured Bacilli bacterium. Its description in RNAcentral is "bacterial SSU rRNA". It matches the Rfam family "Bacterial small subunit ribosomal RNA", at positions 62 to 723 of the family's 1533-position model. The record is from RNAcentral. Lineage: Bacteria; Bacillati; Bacillota; Bacilli.